GCGGUGCUGGGCGAGGAAGCCAUCGGCUUCGAGGUGCCGGCCCUGCGCCUGAUCGGCCAGGCCGCCUCGGGUUCGAUGCGCGAUGCGCUGUCCC
RNAcentral lists this transfer RNA (94 nucleotides) under Bordetella pseudohinzii. Its description in RNAcentral is "tRNA-???(cgag)". The record is from RNAcentral. Lineage: Bacteria; Pseudomonadati; Pseudomonadota; Betaproteobacteria; Burkholderiales; Alcaligenaceae.